Long non-coding RNA from Hibiscus syriacus, 417 nucleotides. RefSeq lists it as uncharacterized. NCBI's taxonomy places the organism in Eukaryota, Viridiplantae, Streptophyta, Magnoliopsida, Malvales, Malvaceae. The record is from RefSeq and is a predicted model, not a curated record. The transcript has 3 exons.
CCUGAAAGCCAGCAAUAUUUUGUUGGAUGCAGAGAUGAAUCCAAAUAUUUCGGAUUUUGGUAUGGCAAGGAUCUUCGGGGGUAACCAAAAUGAAGCAAAUACAGUACGAGUAGUCGGCACAUACGGAUAUAUGUCUCCUGAAUAUGCGAUGGAAGGACUAUUUUUGAGCAAGUCCGAUGUGUACAGCUUUGGAGUAUUGUUGUUAGAAAUCAUUAGCGGCCGGCGAAAUACUAGCUUUUGAUCAGCCAAUUACACGAGUCUUAUAGCAUACGCAUGGAGUCUUUGGAACGAAGAUAAAGCUAUGGAGCUCAUCGAUCCUUCAAUUAAGGAUUCAUGCUCGACAAAAGUAGUGUUGAAAUGCAUACACAUAGGCAUGCUGUGUGUGCAGGACUCGGCAAUGAACAGACCGACAAUGGC